Molecule: ribosomal RNA, 382 nt
Filed under: uncultured bacterium
Lineage: Bacteria
Description: bacterial SSU rRNA
Rfam family: Bacterial small subunit ribosomal RNA
Source: RNAcentral
CUNCGGGAGGCAGCAGUGGGGAAUUUUCCGCAAUNGGCGAAAGCCUGACGGAGCAAUNCCGCGUGAGGGAUGAANGCCUAUGGGUUGUAAACCNCUUUUUUCNAGGAGGAAUAAAAUGACGUGUACNUGAAGAAUAAGCAUCGGCUAACUCCGUGCCAGCAGCCGCGGUAAGACGGGGGAUGCAAGUGUUAUCCGGAAUCACUGGGCGUAAAGCGUCUGUAGGUGGUUAAAUAAGUCAACUGUUAAAUCUUGAGGCUCAACCUCAAAAUCGCAGUCGAAACUGUUUGACUAGAGUAUAGUAGGGGUAAAGGGAAUUUCCAGUGGAGCGGUGAAAUGCGUAGAGAUUGGAAAGAACACCAAUGGCGAAGGCACUUUACUGGGC